This 202-nucleotide non-coding RNA is filed under the name Hyphomicrobiales bacterium. The record is from RNAcentral. Lineage: Bacteria; Pseudomonadati; Pseudomonadota; Alphaproteobacteria; Hyphomicrobiales.
GCUAGCGUUCAUCGCGAUGGUCCUUCCACAUGGAAGGUGAAAAGGGAAGCCGGUUUUCAAAUCCGGCGCUGCCCCCGCAACUGUAAGCGAGAGCCUCGAGCCAUGAGGCACCUUGCGCCGAGACCACUGGGAUGUUCCCGGGAAGGCGGCGACGAGGGCACAACUCGCAAGCCAGGAGACCUGCCAUCGAUAGUGGUGCUUU